RNAcentral lists this ribosomal RNA (253 nucleotides) under uncultured bacterium. Its description in RNAcentral is "partial 16S ribosomal RNA". It matches the Rfam family "Bacterial small subunit ribosomal RNA", at positions 524 to 776 of the family's 1533-position model. The record is from RNAcentral.
UACGAAGGGGGCUAGCGUUGUUCGGAUUUACUGGGCGUAAAGCGCACGUAGGCGGAUCGUUAAGUCGGGGGUGAAAUCCUGGAGCUCAACUCCAGAACUGCCUUCGAUACUGGCGAUCUCGAGUCCGGAAGAGGUGAGUGGAACUCCUAGUGUAGAGGUGGAAUUCGUAGAUAUUAGGAAGAACACCAGUGGCGAAGGCGACAUACUGGUCCGUUACUGACGCUGAGGCUCGAAAGCGUGGGGAGCAAACAGG